This 320-nucleotide long non-coding RNA is filed under the name Nicotiana benthamiana. RNAcentral describes it as "long non-coding RNA (NBEN_LNC026278)". The record is from RNAcentral. Lineage: Eukaryota; Viridiplantae; Streptophyta; Magnoliopsida; Solanales; Solanaceae.
AACAGAAGAAAGGUAUUGAUUUUGAUGAAAUUUUCUCACCUACUGUCAAAAUGACUUCUAUUCGAACAAUUUUGAGCUUAGCAGCUAGCCUAGAUCUUGAAGUGGGGUAUUGAUUUUGACGAAAUUUUCUCACAUGUUGUCAAAAUGACUUCUAUUCGAACAAUUUUGAGCUUAGUAGCAAGUUUAAAUCUUGAAGUGGAGCAGUUGGAUGUGAAAACUGCAUUUCUUCAUGGAGAUUUGAAAGAAGAGAUUUGUAUGGAGCAGCCAGAAGGAUUUGAAGUAGCUGGAAAGAAACACAUGGUGUGUAAAUUGAACAAGAG